GAUGAACGCUAGCGGCAGGCCUAACACAUGCAAGUCGAGGGAGAGGUUACCUUCGGGUAACCAAAACCGGCGCACGGGUGCGUAACGCGUAUACAAUCUGCCUUUCACAUAGGGAUAGCCCGAAGAAAUUUGGAUUAAUACCUAAUGGUAUAUAAGAGCGGCAUCGUUUUUAUAUUAAAGCUACGGUGGUGAAAGAUGAGUAUGCGUUCUAUUAGCUAGUUGGAGAGGUAACGGCUCCCCAAGGCGACGAUAGAUAGGGGUUCUGAGAGGGAUGUCCCCCCAACCUGUAACGGGGUAACGAACAGGACUCUACGGGAAGCAGGAGUGGGGGAUAUUGGGAAAAGGUCGGAAAAAUUGACCCACCCAGGCGCGUGCAAGAAGGAAGGCCCAUGGAUUGUAAACUGGUUUUGUAAGGGGAGAAAAAGGGGUAAGUGGAACUUGAUGACGGUAACUUAAGAAUAAGGCACGGCUAAAUUCGUG
Molecule: ribosomal RNA, 480 nt
Filed under: uncultured bacterium
Lineage: Bacteria
Description: partial 16S ribosomal RNA
Rfam family: Bacterial small subunit ribosomal RNA
Source: RNAcentral